CAGAAAUAAAUCACCGACUCAGAGCAAAAAUUCUCUUCUAUGCGUUGAGACGCAACACAACGGUCAUGAAGGGAUUGAACGGAGACGGAGACGGACGGCGGAGGGAGACGCACGGCGGAGGAAUCGUGAAGGGAUUGAACCCUAUCUUGUUCGGACAGACGGAGGAGGAUGGAGUCGAAGAUAGAUUGACGGAGACGGACGGCGGAGGGAGACGCACGGCGGAGGAAUCGUGAAGGGAUUGAACCCUAACUUGUUCGUAAGUUACGUACAUCAUCUUUGAUCUUCUUUUGUUACUAUAUCUGAUUAUGAACCCUAACUUGUUCGUAAGUUAGGUACAUCAUCUUUGAUCUUUCUUAUUCUGAAUUUGAACCUUAGGGGUCUUUCUUUGUGAUUCUUUCUGUGCUUUGUUGGGUUUUUCAAAGAUCAGAUCACAAUUCAACGAGUCUGAACCCAAAACAUGAAUCGUGAACGGUAUAUUAAUUUCUCUUUAAGUCUAUUUAUACAUGUUCUGAUUGAUUUUGGUAUCAAGCUACUCAUAAUAAGUUUGUGCAUGUUAUGUUGAUCUAUUGAAUUACUUUGGAUGAUGUUAUCGGGAAGAUGAAAGUGCUUGAUGUACAAAAAGGAUGUGACAGUGGUUGUGGUGUAUACGGAGGAGGAGGAUACACAGAGGGUUUGCGACAUUGAGUCUUGUCUACUCGCAACCAGACUCGGGACUACCGCAUAUCUCUGGCACAAGGUUUGAGUACGUGUUUUCCCCAAAAUAUGCAACAGGUUGAUUUGAUGUCAUAGUUUCUAUACCAAAUCAGAUAAGGUAUAACUGUCUUAACUAGGCUUAGAAUUAAUAUAAAGUCAGAAAAGUGUCAUAGUUAGAUAUUGUAGAUAUAGAUAGUUAAGAUGUUCUCUAUCAAUUUGUGCUUUAGUGAAGAAUUUGUAUUCUCUAUCAAUUUUGUUCCUCAACGCUGAAGCACUCAGUUGAUUUUCCUCGUUAAUCAUCUAAAGAAGAUGAAACAAACUCCAUGGUUCUAAUGCUCUGUAAGUGACAGCUAAAUCUUACUUUAAUUCUUGUAUAUCUUUCUGGUCAUGUGUCCACUAAGGUGAAGUCAAAACUUGAGAAACAAAGGCUAUGUUACUGCCUCGCUGGUAUGGAUAUUGUUGGAAGUCAAAGAGUUCAAAAGAGUGUGAGUAUCUUGUCGGAUAACGUCUCUUCAUAUGACACUAAAAGUGGCAGAAGUCUCACCUUGGAGUUAAAACAAGCGAACUCCACUUACUGUUGUGGGUUUUACUCUGCUUUUCUUAGUUGCUGAAAAGAUUGUUGUGUCCAUCAAAGCCCUAAAUCUGACAAGCAAUAUGUUUGGGAAUCGGUAGCUGAUAGUAGCUCAUAUGACGAUGACAAGUAUGAAUUUGAGGAGACUACGAGGAUCAAGAAUCUUGUUAAGAAUUACUCUCAGUUUGCUGGGUUUUCCAUCUAUACAUGGCAGGAGAAAUCAAGGACUAUAGAGAGGAAGAACCAGUGAAGGAAGGAGAAGGGGAAGUAGAAAAAGAAGAGUACAAUAAGUUCUACAAAAAAGCUUUCAGUGAGAUCUUGGAUCCGCUUCCUCACACGCACUUCACAACAGAGGGUGAGGUUUGAGUUCAGGAGCAUUUUGUAACAACGAGGAUGUGAAAAACCCUAAGACAAAGAACAUUCGACUUUACGUGAAGCGUGUGUUUAUCUCUGACGAUUUUGAUGGAGAACCUUUCCCAAGAUGAUCUUCCUCUUAACGUUUCCAAUGAAAUUUCUCCAAGAAAGCAGGAUUGUAAGAAUCAUGAGAAAGGGUCUCAUUAGGAAAACCUUUGACAAGCUUGGGUGAAUAUAUCGAGAACAUGGGAGAGAACCAAAAGGUGAUCUACUACCUUGCAACCGAUAGCUUAAAGAGUGCCAAGUCCGCCCCUUUCUUGGAAAAACUAAUCCAAAAAGACAUCGAGGUUCUAUACUUGGUUGAUGAGGUUGCAAUUCAGAAUUUACAAAUCUACAAAGAAAAGAAGUUGGUUGAUAUCAGCAAAGAAGAUUUGGAACUUGGUAAGUAUUAUUUUCGUCAAACCUCGUGCAUUUGUUUGUAACAAAUUCUCUCUUUUCUCGCAGGAGAUGAAGAUGAAGUAAAGGAUGUGACAGUGGAGGAGUACGUCGUGGUGGUGUAUACGGA
Molecule: long non-coding RNA, 2183 nt
Organism: Capsella rubella
Lineage: Eukaryota; Viridiplantae; Streptophyta; Magnoliopsida; Brassicales; Brassicaceae
Exons: 14
Source: RefSeq, a predicted model, not a curated record